Rattus norvegicus (Norway rat) is the source of this 69-nucleotide non-coding RNA. The record is from Rfam. NCBI's taxonomy places the organism in Eukaryota, Metazoa, Chordata, Mammalia, Rodentia, Muridae.
GGGGAUUUAGCUCAGUGGUAGAGCGCUUGCCUAGGAAGCGCAAGGCCCUGGGUUCGAUCCUCAGCUCCG